CGCUGCGCAGGGACCCCGGCGGCCUCCAAGGCUGGUGCUGCACUCCUCUUCCCCCCGACAGGAGGGGAAACUGAGGCCCGGGGCGGGCGCGGAGAGCCGGCGGAGGUCAGCCCCGGUUCCAGGCCCCGCCGCUGGCUCCGGGGCGGGCCUCUGGGAGGCGGGUCCUGGAGGAAGGGGCUCCCGGGACGGUCCCGCUGAGCGCGGGCGGCGGGUGCGCAGCCGAGGCCGACCGCGGCCGGGGAUGCGCACGCGCACGCGCCCCUCCGCCCCCAGCCGUCGGUCGGCUGCCUACCAGAUGAGCCCACUGUGUGCAGAAGAGUCAUGGGAGUUGUAUCAGGAACAUUCUAGACCCCAGUGUCCUUGAGUUUGGAAAAGAUGAGAUCACAUUGGAACCCAAACACCUGUUGUGACCACCUGCCCUGUGGCGUCGUCCUUACUCUAGGAGGGCUGCCUUGGAUCUGGAAAUUGUUGGAGGAAUCCUGAGGGGAUGGAGGCACUGGUGCUCUCGGAUUGACCUUGGUCCCAGCUGUCCUUCAGGGACCUCAUCAUGAUUGUCGUUUGGGUGGAUCAUGGACAUUGGAGUAGCAUAAUGAAGAAAGCUGUUGCCAUGUGAAUGUUGCCAGACCUUCUCACCAUGUUGCCUCAGCAAAGCAUGGAAGGGUUUUUCUCUCUGUGUAAGCAGGCCAGAGGGAAAGCCCUGGGACCCUGGAAGUUUGAGGUGUGGAGCCAGAGAUUUGAGCUGGCUCUGCCGUUCCCCCCUGCAGGAGUCAGAAUGCCAUGGACCAGGAAGACUGGUUUGCUUCGACCUGGGACAGGUUGUCCAGCAGCAUCCAUGUCUCCCCGCCUUCUCUUCCUCUGACUUUUCAAGAGUUUUCAGCACUGUGCAUCCUUGUCCUCUCACCUGCCUAAUAAAUCUUGAAACUACCCUGAA
Long non-coding RNA from Nyctereutes procyonoides (raccoon dog), 931 nucleotides. RefSeq lists it as uncharacterized. The transcript is spliced from 4 exons. Lineage: Eukaryota; Metazoa; Chordata; Mammalia; Carnivora; Canidae. The record is from RefSeq and is a predicted model, not a curated record.